AUUGAACGCUGGCGGCAUGCUUUACACAUGCAAGUCGAACGGCAGCGCGGGCUUCGGCCUGGCGGCGAGUGGCGAACGGGUGAGUAAUACAUCGGAACGUGCCCAGUAGUGGGGGAUAGCUCGGCGAAAGCCGGAUUAAUACCGCAUACGACCUGAGGGUGAAAGCGGGGGAUCUUCGGAGCUCGCGCUAUUGGAGCGGCCGAUGGCAGAUUAGCUAGUUGGUGGGGUAAAGGCCUACCAAGGCGACGAUCUGUAGCUGGUCUGAGAGGACGACCAGCCACACUGGGACUGAGACACGGCCCAGACUCCUACGGGAGGCAGCAGUGGGGAAUUUUGGACAAUGGGCGAAAGCCUGAUCCAGCAAUGCCGCGUGUGUGAUGAAGGCCUUCGGGUUGUAAAGCACUUUUGGCGGGAACGAAAAGGACUGUGCCAAUACCACGGUUCGAUGACGGUACCCGCAGAAUAAGCACCGGCUAACUACGUG
Molecule: ribosomal RNA, 484 nt
Filed under: uncultured bacterium
Lineage: Bacteria
Description: partial 16S ribosomal RNA
Rfam family: Bacterial small subunit ribosomal RNA
Source: RNAcentral